RNAcentral lists this ribosomal RNA (805 nucleotides) under uncultured Pelagibacteraceae bacterium. RNAcentral's name for it is "bacterial SSU rRNA". It matches the Rfam family "Bacterial small subunit ribosomal RNA", at positions 33 to 887 of the family's 1533-position model. Lineage: Bacteria; Pseudomonadati; Pseudomonadota; Alphaproteobacteria; Candidatus Pelagibacterales; Candidatus Pelagibacteraceae. The record is from RNAcentral.
ACGCUGGCGGCACGCCUUAUACAUGCAAGUCGAACGAAGUAGCAAUACUUAGUGGCAGACGGGUGAGUAACAUGUGGGUAUCUUCCCUUUGGUGAGGAAUAACACGAGGAAACUUGUGCUAAUACCUCAUAAGUCUUUACGGAGAAAGCUUUAUGCGCCAAUGGAUGAGCCCGCACUUGAUUAGUUUGUUGGUGGGGUAAUGGCCUACCAAGACUUUGAUCAAUAGCUGAUCUGAGAGGAUGAUCAGCCACAUUGGGACUGAGACACGGCCCAAACUCCUACGGGAGGCAGCAGUAGGGAAUAUUGCACAAUGGAGGAAACUCUGAUGCAGCGAUGCCGCGUGAGUGAAGAAGGCCCUUGGGUUGUAAAGCUCUUUCGUCGGGGAAGAAAAUGACUGUACCCGAAUAAGAAGGUCCGGCUAACUUCGUGCCAGCAGCCGCGGUAAUACGAAGGGACCUAGCGUAGUUCGGAAUUACUGGGCUUAAAGAGUUCGUAGGUGGUUAAAAAAGUUGGUUGUGAAAUCCCGAAGCUUAACUUCGGAACUGCAAUCAAAACUUUUUAGCUAGAGUAUGAUAGAGGAAAGCAGAAUUUCUAGUGUAGAGGUGAAAUUCGUAGAUAUUAGAAAGAAUACCAAUUGCGAAGGCAGCUUUCUGGAUCAUUACUGACACUGAGGAACGAAAGCAUGGGUAGCGAAGAGGAUUAGAUACCCUCGUAGUCCAUGCCGUAAACGAUGUGUGUUAGACGUUGGAAUUUAUUUUCAGUGUCGCAGCGAAAGCAGUAAACACACCGCCUGGGGAGUACGACC